CCGGCCUAAGCCACGACCCCUGGCCGCUGUGUUGCUGCUGCAUCCGCCGGGCACUCCAUUCUCCAACAUUAGGCCCGGGGUUUACAUCAGUCCUGGCUCCGCCACUGGAUGUAUGUGCAUCACGCGCCCGACGACGGAGUGCCUAGCAUGCAUUUUCUCCCAUCCAGUUCAUUUGAAUCGAGGGCUGUACACGAGAUGGUAUACGCCGGCGGCGGCGCGUCUUCUCAUAGCAAGACGCAGAUCAGUUUUCCCCAUAACGGCUAUGCCUACAAAACUCAAAGGACUUCGCUGACAACUCCGAUCACCCGACACUACGAUCCAGAUCUGGAAGAAUUGAUUUGUGCAUCAUGCAAGAUGCAUGCAUAAUAAACACGAUGGUGUAAUAUGAUGCACGUACAUAAUUUGGCUA
Triticum dicoccoides is the source of this 409-nucleotide long non-coding RNA. RefSeq lists it as uncharacterized. Lineage: Eukaryota; Viridiplantae; Streptophyta; Magnoliopsida; Poales; Poaceae. The record is from RefSeq and is a predicted model, not a curated record. The transcript has 3 exons.